UUAACUAAAUCCAAGUGUGAGGAUAAUCACUGUUAAUGAUUCCAUUGAAAUUAAUUUCUAGUUGAA
RNAcentral lists this transfer RNA (66 nucleotides) under Cypridopsis vidua. Its description in RNAcentral is "tRNA-Asn". The record is from RNAcentral. Lineage: Eukaryota; Metazoa; Arthropoda; Ostracoda; Podocopida; Cyprididae.